UUGAUUUUUUUUAAUAAGACUCAGACAAUAAAGUAAAGAGUUUAAAUCCUUCGGCGGGAACUCGCCCGCAAAGCCGACGGUCUGUUAAGAACGUCCCGCCGAAGCAACAGGUCAAUACACAAAGGGUGGGAGUUCUAUCGUUAAAUAGAUAACUCGAUAAUGAUCCUUCCGCAGGUUCACCUAGAAUAAACAGUUAGUAAACAAAGUUCACACAAAAAGGGAAAUUUUUUUAACUCACCUACGGAAA
Molecule: unclassified non-coding RNA, 247 nt
Filed under: uncultured fungus
Lineage: Eukaryota; Fungi
Description: sequence contains ITS1
Source: RNAcentral